AAUGCAUCGUUUGAUGAAAUUUGUUCUAAUGGAGUACAUAGAGAAUGAAUUAAGCGAUAUCAAUGUAAUCUUCAUUGAAAUAAUCGAGUGAAAGUAGAUAAAAUUUGAAUGGCCAUUCAUAUUGUUGUCGGUAAUUUGUAUUGAAAAAUGUUUUUUUGAAACUGGUGAGAGAUUUAUCAAGUAAUAUCACUUGAUCAUGUCGCCACAUAUUGAAAUUUUGAGAAGAGAAUCUCUAAUUUCUGUGUUAUCAACUCCGAAAUCUAAUGAUGAAAGAUUUGCCGAGAAAAUCAAGAAUGCACCAAAGGAUGCUUUUUCAAUAUGUUUUAUUUUCUUUUUCUUCAUGGGAUUUAUGACAUUGAUGCCAAUGAUAUUUAUCGGAACAGCAACUAAUUAUUGGAUGUUCAAGUUCAGAAAUGCCAGUGCACCAGCAGAUGAUGGAAACAGGACAUCAUUACAGUCUCUUUACCAGUCAGCAUCGUCAGUUGCCAUUUCAGUACCAACUGUAUUAUUCACUCUUUUAGGGACAAUUUACGGUAGAAAAUUUGACGCACGAAAAUUAAUUUUGUUUGCGUUGGUUGUCAUCUUUUUUAUUUUCCUGACGUUUUCAUCGUUCACUAGAGUUAACACAGACUCAUGUAAGUAAACCCACAACUUUUAUUCGAACUCAUAACAUAUUCUUCGUUUCUUUCUUGGUUCUAAUAUACAAUAUUCUUGGGACCAAAUGGAGUAUACCUUCCACGGAAUUGUAGGUACUAUUUGAAGGUAUCAUUGGAGGUGAAAUACGGCGGUACUUUAUAAUUUUGUCAAACAAAACCAAUUUGCACUGAAAUUUAAAUUCACGUUGUAGUCACUCAGCUUCAAAUUUGAGUGACUCAAAAAUAUAUCGAUAAUACGCAUAAUGGAGCCAUGUGUAUUCAACAGUUCCCAAAGUUCCGAACAGCACCAAACUGCACU
Molecule: long non-coding RNA, 954 nt
Organism: Leptinotarsa decemlineata (Colorado potato beetle)
Lineage: Eukaryota; Metazoa; Arthropoda; Insecta; Coleoptera; Chrysomelidae
Source: RefSeq, a predicted model, not a curated record